AGUAACUAGAUUUCACUAGAAUUAAUGUACACGAAAGUGCGCGAGCUAAACAAAAUAAGAUUAUAGUCUGUUUGUAUGUAGUAUAAUACUUUCAUUUAGUUUUGGUUAGGGGUGAUAGGCUUUACAAGCGUACUGAUAUCUUGAUGCGUGAGAAACAUAUUUAGUAUAAAUGUAUACUACUAAAGUUAAGCUUGGUAGUAUUUAGAAACGUUGUUCAUAAUUUGUUUUAAGUUUAAUAACUGGAAGACUAUAUUUAUUAACAUUUAAUACUAAGUUUUCUAGACCAUAUCACGUUAUAUUUACUUACGUAGGUAUAAAUUAUGUUAGUAUGAGUAGUAAUAAGAAAUAUUCUAUCUGAACUCGGCAACACACUUUUCAACUGUUUAUCAAAAACAUAGCUACGUGAUUUCGUACGUAGUUAUUUCUGCUCCAUGGUAUACUAAAUAGCCGCAGUACUCUGACUGUGCAAAGGUAGCAUAAUCAGUUGGCUCCUAAAUAGAGUCUGGUAUGAAAGAACAUAUGGAGAGUAACUAUACUUAGGAUAUUAAGAUGAAAUUGGUUGUGAGUGCAAAUCCUCACAUAUUUACAAAAGACGAGAAGACCCUAGAAACUCGCGAUAAAAAUUUUGUUGGGGCGACAGAAUUACAAUAAACUAAUUCUAAAAUGCAAGACGCAUAACAGGUAGUUGAAGUUACUCUAGGGAUAACAGCAUAAUAUAUCUGUUUGUGACCUCGAUGUUGGACUAGGUAAAAUAUUCCUUAGAAAGGAAUACGUAUGCUCUGUUCGAGCAAGUUAACCUACAUGAUCUGAGUUCAGACCGG
This 821-nucleotide ribosomal RNA is filed under the name Allognathus grateloupi. RNAcentral describes it as "partial 16S ribosomal RNA". Lineage: Eukaryota; Metazoa; Mollusca; Gastropoda; Stylommatophora; Helicidae. The record is from RNAcentral.